AGUGGCGGACGGCUGAGUAACGCGUAGGAAUCUGCCCGAAACUGGGGAAUAGCCACGAGAAAUCGUGGGUAAUACCCCAUGGUCUCCGCCUUUGGUGGAGUAAAGAGUGUAACUACUCGGUUUCGGAUGAGCCUGCGUCCUAUCAGGUAGUUGGUGGGGUAAUGGCCUACCAAGCCAAUGACGGGUAGCUGGCCUCAUGAGGGUGGUCAGCCAGAGGGGGACUGAGACACGGCCCCCACUCCUACGGGAGGCAGCAAUUAGGAAUAGUCGGCAAUGGGCGAAAGCCUGACCGCGCAAUACCGCGUGUAGGACGAAGCUCGAAAGAGUGUAAACUACUGUGGCGAGGGAAGAAGUCCUGCAUUUUGCGGGAUUGACGGUACCUCGCUAGAAAGGAGCCGCUAACUUCGUGCCAGAAGCGUCGGUAAUACGAGGGCUCCGAGCGUUAUCCGGUGUUACUGGGCGUAAAGUGUCGUGUAGGCGGCUGUGUAAGUUAUCUUUCAAAGCUUCCGGCUCAACCGGAAAAAGGGAGAUAAUACUGCAUAGCUAGAGUCUUCUUAAGGGAGAAUGGAACCAAGGGAGGAGUAGUGAAAUGCGUUGAUACCCUUGGGAACACCAGUGGCGAAGGCGAUUCUCUGGAAGAAGACUGACGCUGAGACACGAAAGCUAGGGGAGCGGAGCAGAUUAGAGACCUGCGUAGUCCUAGCCGUAAACG
Molecule: ribosomal RNA, 712 nt
Filed under: uncultured organism
Description: bacterial SSU rRNA
Rfam family: Bacterial small subunit ribosomal RNA
Source: RNAcentral